RNAcentral lists this unclassified non-coding RNA (2076 nucleotides) under Lytechinus variegatus (green sea urchin). RNAcentral's name for it is "beta-2 adrenergic receptor-like, transcript variant X1". Lineage: Eukaryota; Metazoa; Echinodermata; Echinoidea; Temnopleuroida; Toxopneustidae. The record is from RNAcentral.
UGGUGACAAGGUGGAGGAUCCGCCAAUACUACAUUUGAUGUGGGGUCAUGGAACCGGUAUUAGAUUAGCUUGUGAAGACAUCGGUGGCAUUCGAUAGUGACAGUGAACUGAAAAUCAUUCAUGAUUACUGUGAACAUACGGAUUAGUCGCUAAAAGACGGUCUUCAAAAUAUCAGGAUAUGGCUAAAAUUACACAUCGUCCUGAUCACCCAGACCAGACCAAACUUUAGAAGCGAUCCGGGAAGCGAUCACCAUCUUAAAACGUUUGGUACGUUCGCCAUUUGAAGACAAGCAGUACUAUCUCUCUUACCUGACACAGUCAAGUGAGUUUGUCAUAGUAGGCCUAUGCAUGGUAACGAAUCUAAUGGAUAUCGUCACAGACAUAGUCACCAACAUCGGUACCGAGCAAACUUUCACCGACGUUUACACCGACUGGUCUGCUAACGUUACUUAUUUGCCGACAAAGACCUUCAGGACUUCGACUGGAGAAGUAACAAGCAACGAUGAUAAUCACCGAGACAGUGUCGGGUGGGUAUUUGACCCUCCUGCAAUUUCAGCUUUUAUCUUCUUCCAGGUGAUUGCUGCCAUCCUGGGAGUCGUAGGAAACACAUGUGUCUUAUUAGUGACGAGCAGAUGGAAAGCGAAAAUGAAGUCAACAACGGAUGCCUUGGUGCGUGCUCUGGCAGUUGCCGACCUCUUGACAUCCAUUCUGAUUGUACCUCACCCUUACGCCAGCUCCGUACCUAACACGAUUCUUGGCGAAUUCUACUGCAAGGUUGUCACAUCUCACAUCUUCAUGUGGACAUCUGUCGUCGCCUCGAUACUCACGUUGACUGCGAUUUCGAUCGAAAGAUACUUGGCGAUAUCACACCCUUUCUUUCACAGACGAUCGGUGACGAACAAACGAAUAAGAGGGUUGAUAGUGACCGUAUGGAUCCUGGCUUUUCUCCUCAAUGUCAACCCACUUUUUGUGGAGUAUGUCGAUAAAGUAUCGCACCAUUGCGUCUUUAGAUACCACCGUCGGGACUUGGCGGGAAAGAUGUUUUAUGGCGUGACCGUUUUCAUGAUCGAAUUCAUAACACCGUCUACCAUUAUGGUGAUCACGCACGUCCUUGCCUCGCGCACACUCAACCGCGAACUUCUGCGUUUCGAGAAAAAGACCAGCCAAUCAGAAACUUUUGGGCUAUCUAAGAAGUUGGUCGUGGCAAAGAAAAGAAACAUGAAAUCGCUUUUGAUAAUCUUUAUGACAUUUCUUGUUUGCUGGGCUCCUGAACAGAUAUUCGUGUUGCUUUUCAAUUUAGGAAUAAUUGACCAUUCUCAUCUCGAAAGCCAGGCAUAUUCGUACACCGUGCUACUAGCUUUCGUUAAUUCUUGUGCUAAUCCUAUAAUCUAUACCACACGAUAUCCGAAGUUUAGAACUGCCAUUGCUUCAAUGUUGGCAUGCUGCAGUGGUAAGCAUGGCAAGGGAAAGGACAACAUUCCCCCUGCCAUGCCUGCUACUAUAUUCUCUCCUGACAUGACUGAAAAUAAAAGGAAAGACAGCGAUAACGUUUAAAAAUAAAACAUUUCUUGACCAUAUUUGUCGAUUUCAACAAGUGUGUCGACUGGAGUGCCGACUACUAUACUUUAAAGCAGCAUGACAAUUGGCCCGUUUCAUUUUUAUUCUUCAAUUAUUGCAACCUUGCCGUUAUGGUUACUACCAGGGAAAACUUAAUUUUUAAUUUGUUGCAACCCUCUUAUCAUCAUGAUAGGUAAUAGAAUGCCAAAGUUGUAUACCGCAAAUCGUAACAAGUCUUUUAUUUCAAACGGGCCUCUGAGGGUUGACGGGAUUGGAGAAUAUGACUUUUCUCAGGCCUACGUUCGAAAGACUUUUGUUUGAGGAUUGUCGCCAUGCACGAAGGCCAGGGUGGCUCCAGAGAUAGCUGAGUGGAACUAGACACCCCACCUCCACCCCGCCUACCAUUUUGUAUUUUGCUUGUUAAUUCCUUAUGGCCCUUGGUUAUUAACUGGGCCCCGUCUUACAAAGAGUUACAAUUGAUCCAAUCGCUCACAACUAUUGGAAGCCAGCAACGUCAAC